Molecule: ribosomal RNA, 271 nt
Organism: Lupinus angustifolius (narrow-leaved blue lupine)
Lineage: Eukaryota; Viridiplantae; Streptophyta; Magnoliopsida; Fabales; Fabaceae
Rfam family: Bacterial small subunit ribosomal RNA
Source: Rfam
GUUUAAUACGAUGCAAUGUGGAGAACCUUACCAGGGCUUGACAUGACGCGAUUCCUCUUUAAAGAGAGGGGGCCCUUCGGGAACACGGACACAGGUGGUGCAUGGUUGUCGUCUGCUCGUGCCGUAAGGUGUUGGGUUAAGUCCCGCAACGAGUGCAACCCUCGUGUUUAGUUGCCAAUGUUGAGUUUGGAACCCUAAGCAGACUGUCGGUGAUAAGCUUUGCAAACUCAGACAUACAAGAAAGGAAAACACUGUAACAAGAAUGGAGACA